GGUUAAGCGACUAAGCGUACACGGUGGAUGCCCUGGCAGUCAGAGGCGAUGAAGGACGUGCUAAUCUGCGAUAAGCGUCGGUAAGGUGAUAUGAACCGUUAUAACCGGCGAUUUCCGAAUGGGGAAACCCAGUGUGUUUCGACACACUAUCAUUAACUGAAUCCAUAGGUUAAUGAGGCGAACCGGGGGAACUGAAACAUCUAAGUACCCCGAGGAAAAGAAAUCAACCGAGAUUCCCCCAGUAGCGGCGAGCGAACGGGGAGGAGCCCAGAGCCUGAAUCAGUGUGUGUGUUAGUGGAAGCGUCUGGAAAGGCGCGCGAUACAGGGUGACAGCCCCGUACACAAAAAUGCACAUGCUGUGAGCUCGAUGAGUAGGGCGGGACACGUGGUAUCCUGUCUGAAUAUGGGGGGACCAUCCUCCAAGGCUAAAUACUCCUGACUGACCGAUAGUGAACCAGUACCGUGAGGGAAAGGCGAAAAGAACCCCGGCGAGGGGAGUGAAAAAGAACCUGAAACCGUGUACGUACAAGCAGUGGGAGCACGCUUAGGCGUGUGACUGCGUACCUUUUGUAUAAUGGGUCAGCGACUUAUAUUCUGUAGCAAGGUUAACCGAAUAGGGGAGCCGAAGGGAAACCGAGUCUUAACUGGGCGUUAAGUUGCAGGGUAUAGACCCGAAACCCGGUGAUCUAGCCAUGGGCAGGUUGAAGGUUGGGUAACACUAACUGGAGGACCGAACCGACUAAUGUUGAAAAAUUAGCGGAUGACUUGUGGCUGGGGGUGAAAGGCCAAUCAAACCGGGAGAUAGCUGGUUCUCCCCGAAAGCUAUUUAGGUAGCGCCUCGUGAAUUCAUCUCCGGGGGUAGAGCACUGUUUCGGCAAGGGGGUCAUCCCGACUUACCAACCCGAUGCAAACUGCGAAUACCGGAGAAUGUUAUCACGGGAGACACACGGCGGGUGCUAACGUCCGUCGUGAAGAGGGAAACAACCCAGACCGCCAGCUAAGGUCCCAAAGUCAUGGUUAAGUGGGAAACGAUGUGGGAAGGCCCAGACAGCCAGGAUGUUGGCUUAGAAGCAGCCAUCAUUUAAAGAAAGCGUAAUAGCUCACUGGUCGAGUCGGCCUGCGCGGAAGAUGUAACGGGGCUAAACCAUGCACCGAAGCUGCGGCAGCGACACUGUGUGUUGUUGGGUAGGGGAGCGUUCUGUAAGCCUGUGAAGGUGUGCUGUGAGGCAUGCUGGAGGUAUCAGAAGUGCGAAUGCUGACAUAAGUAACGAUAAAGCGGGUGAAAAGCCCGCUCGCCGGAAGACCAAGGGUUCCUGUCCAACGUUAAUCGGGGCAGGGUGAGUCGACCCCUAAGGCGAGGCCGAAAGGCGUAGUCGAUGGGAAACAGGUUAAUAUUCCUGUACUUGGUGUUACUGCGAAGGGGGGACGGAGAAGGCUAUGUUGGCCGGGCGACGGUUGUCCCGGUUUAAGCGUGUAGGCUGGUUUUCCAGGCAAAUCCGGAAAAUCAAGGCUGAGGCGUGAUGACGAGGCACUACGGUGCUGAAGCAACAAAUGCCCUGCUUCCAGGAAAAUCCUCUAAGCAUCAGGUAACAUCAAAUCGUACCCCAAACCGACACAGGUGGUCAGGUAGAGAAUACCAAGGCGCUUGAGAGAACUCGGGUGAAGGAACUAGGCAAAAUGGUGCCGUAACUUCGGGAGAAGGCACGCUGAUAUGUAGGUGAAGCGACUUGCUCGUGGAGCUGAAAUCAGUCGAAGAUACCAGCUGGCUGCAACUGUUUAUUAAAAACACAGCACUGUGCAAACACGAAAGUGGACGUAUACGGUGUGACGCCUGCCCGGUGCCGGAAGGUUAAUUGAUGGGGUCAGCGCAAGCGAAGCUCUUGAUCGAAGCCCCGGUAAACGGCGGCCGUAACUAUAACGGUCCUAAGGUAGCGAAAUUCCUUGUCGGGUAAGUUCCGACCUGCACGAAUGGCGUAAUGAUGGCCAGGCUGUCUCCACCCGAGACUCAGUGAAAUUGAACUCGCUGUGAAGAUGCAGUGUACCCGCGGCAAGACGGAAAGACCCCGUGAACCUUUACUAUAGCUUGACACUGAACAUUGAGCCUUGAUGUGUAGGAUAGGUGGGAGGCUUAGAAGUGUGGACGCCAGUCUGCAUGGAGCCGACCUUGAAAUACCACCCUUUAAUGUUUGAUGUUCUAACGUUGACCCGUAAUCCGGGUUGCGGACAGUGUCUGGUGGGUAGUUUGACUGGGGCGGUCUCCUCCUAAAGAGUAACGGAGGAGCACGAAGGUUGGCUAAUCCUGGUCGGACAUCAGGAGGUUAGUGCAAUGGCAUAAGCCAGCUUGACUGCGAGCGUGACGGCGCGAGCAGGUGCGAAAGCAGGUCAUAGUGAUCCGGUGGUUCUGAAUGGAAGGGCCAUCGCUCAACGGAUAAAAGGUACUCCGGGGAUAACAGGCUGAUACCGCCCAAGAGUUCAUAUCGACGGCGGUGUUUGGCACCUCGAUGUCGGCUCAUCACAUCCUGGGGCUGAAGUAGGUCCCAAGGGUAUGGCUGUUCGCCAUUUAAAGUGGUACGCGAGCUGGGUUUAGAACGUCGUGAGACAGUUCGGUCCCUAUCUGCCGUGGGCGCUGGAGAACUGAGGGGGGCUGCUCCUAGUACGAGAGGACCGGAGUGGACGCAUCACUGGUGUUCGGGUUGUCAUGCCAAUGGCACUGCCCGGUAGCUAAAUGCGGAAGAGAUAAGUGCUGAAAGCAUCUAAGCACGAAACUUGCCCCGAGAUGAGUUCUCCCUGACCCUUUAAGGGUCCUGAAGGAACGUUGAAGACGACGACGUUGAUAGGCCGGGUGUGUAAGCGCAGCGAUGCGUUGAGCUAACCGGUACUAAUGAACCGUGAGGCUUAACCUU
Molecule: ribosomal RNA, 2903 nt
Filed under: Escherichia coli
Lineage: Bacteria; Pseudomonadati; Pseudomonadota; Gammaproteobacteria; Enterobacterales; Enterobacteriaceae
Description: 23S ribosomal RNA
Rfam family: Bacterial large subunit ribosomal RNA
Source: RNAcentral